This 1034-nucleotide ribosomal RNA is filed under the name Bacillus sp. enrichment culture clone CBMAI_753. Its description in RNAcentral is "bacterial SSU rRNA". It matches the Rfam family "Bacterial small subunit ribosomal RNA", at positions 200 to 1223 of the family's 1533-position model. Lineage: Bacteria; Bacillati; Bacillota; Bacilli; Caryophanales; Bacillaceae. The record is from RNAcentral.
AUGAAAGACGGUUUCGGCUGUCACUUACAGAUGGACCCGCGGCGCAUUAGCUAGUUGGUGGGGUAAUGGCUCACCAAGGCGACGAUGCGUAGCCGACCUGAGAGGGUGAUCGGCCACACUGGGACUGAGACACGGCCCAGACUCCUACGGGAGGCAGCAGUAGGGAAUCUUCCGCAAUGGACGAAAGUCUGACGGAGCAACGCCGCGUGAGUGAUGAAGGUUUUCGGAUCGUAAAGCUCUGUUGUUAGGGAAGAACAAGUGCGAGAGUAACUGCUCGCACCUUGACGGUACCUAACCAGAAAGCCACGGCUAACUACGUGCCAGCAGCCGCGGUAAUACGUAGGUGGCAAGCGUUGUCCGGAAUUAUUGGGCGUAAAGGGCUCGCAGGCGGUUUCUUAAGUCUGAUGUGAAAGCCCCCGGCUCAACCGGGGAGGGUCAUUGGAAACUGGGAAACUUGAGUGCAGAAGAGGAGAGUGGAAUUCCACGUGUAGCGGUGAAAUGCGUAGAGAUGUGGAGGAACACCAGUGGCGAAGGCGACUCUCUGGUCUGUAACUGACGCUGAGGAGCGAAAGCGUGGGGAGCGAACAGGAUUAGAUACCCUGGUAGUCCACGCCGUAAACGAUGAGUGCUAAGUGUUAGGGGGUUUCCGCCCCUUAGUGCUGCAGCUAACGCAUUAAGCACUCCGCCUGGGGAGUACGUCGCAAGACUGAUACUCAAAGGAAUUGACGGGGGCCCGCACAAGCGGUGGAGCAUGUGGUUUAAUUCGAAGCAACGCGAAGAACCUUACCAGGUCUUGACAUCCUCUGACAACCCUAGAGAUAGGGCUUUCCCUUCGGGGACAGAGUGACAGGUGGUGCAUGGUUGUCGUCAGCUCGUGUCGUGAGAUGUUGGGUUAAGUCCCGCAACGAGCGCAACCCUUGAUCUUAGUUGCCAGCAUUCAGUUGGGCACUCUAAGGUGACUGCCGGUGACAAACCGGAGGAAGGUGGGGAUGACGUCAAAUCAUCAUGCCCCUUAUGACCUGGGCUACACACGU